Molecule: ribosomal RNA, 393 nt
Filed under: uncultured Cryptococcus
Lineage: Eukaryota; Fungi; Basidiomycota; Tremellomycetes
Description: eukaryotic LSU rRNA
Rfam family: Eukaryotic large subunit ribosomal RNA
Source: RNAcentral
CGGCCGCGUCGACGCAGCAGGUCUCCUAGGUUAACAGCCUCAGUUGAUAGAAUAAUGUGGAUAAGGGAAUUCGGCAAAAUGGAUCCGUAACUUCGGGAUAAGGGAUUGGGCUCUAAGGGUUGGGUAUAUCGGGCCCCUGGCGGGAAGCCGCUGAUGCUGGACUGGACUGCUGUGUGGCAACAUGCGGUGGACCGGACCGGCGUCGGCGUGUGGACGGCCAGGGCAGUCCCUCGGGACGGCCGGUAUACAUUUAACAACCAGCUUAGAACUGGUACGGACAAGGGGAAUCUGGACUGUCUAAUUAAAACAUAGCAUUGCGAUGGCCAGAAAGUGGUGUUGACGCAAUGUGAUUUCUGCCCAGUGCUCUGAAUGUCAAAGUGAAGAAAUUCAACC